Molecule: ribosomal RNA, 216 nt
Filed under: Glomeromycotina sp.
Lineage: Eukaryota; Fungi; Glomeromycota
Description: partial small subunit ribosomal RNA
Rfam family: Eukaryotic small subunit ribosomal RNA (bases 40-216)
Source: RNAcentral
GGGUCAGUAGGUUGGUCGUGCCACCGGUGUGUACUGGUCUCACUGAUUCCUCCUUCCUGAAGAACCGUAAUGCCAUUAAUUUGGUGUUGCGGGGAAACAGGACUGUUACUUUGAAAAAAUUAGAGUGUUUAAAGCAAGCUAACGCUUGAAUACAUUAGCAUGGAAUAAUGAAACAGGACGAUCGAUCCUAUUUUGUUGGUUUCUAGGAUUGACGUA